ACCUGGGUGGCUCAGUGGGUUGAGCAUCCGACUUUGGCUCAGGUCAUGAUCUCACAGUUCGUGGGUUCAAGCCCCACAUCGGGCU
This 85-nucleotide transfer RNA is filed under the name Felis catus (domestic cat). It matches the Rfam family "tRNA". From Rfam's summary of the family: Transfer RNA (tRNA) molecules are approximately 80 nucleotides in length. Their secondary structure includes four short double-helical elements and three loops (D, anti-codon, and T loops). Further hydrogen bonds mediate the characteristic L-shaped molecular structure. tRNAs have two regions of fundamental functional importance: the anti-codon, which is responsible for specific mRNA codon recognition, and the 3' end, to which the tRNAs corresponding amino acid is attached (by aminoacyl-tRNA synthetases). tRNAs cope with the degeneracy of the genetic code in two manners: having more than one tRNA (with a specific anti-codon) for a particular amino acid; and 'wobble' base-pairing, i.e. permitting non-standard base-pairing at the 3rd anti-codon position. Lineage: Eukaryota; Metazoa; Chordata; Mammalia; Carnivora; Felidae. The record is from Rfam by way of RNAcentral.